Molecule: long non-coding RNA, 483 nt
Filed under: Heterocephalus glaber (naked mole-rat)
Lineage: Eukaryota; Metazoa; Chordata; Mammalia; Rodentia; Bathyergidae
Description: lncRNA (ENSHGLG00000037964.1)
Source: RNAcentral
GUAGGUAAGGCUGCAGCUACAUGAUGGAUUUAUGGAGUGGAAUAAAGGUACAGUUUCUGGGGACUUCCUGAUAAUGCCAUGUCCAGUGGUCAAAGUUAAUGGAAGACUACUAUAACUUUACACUUGAUCCCAGCCGAAAGACUGAGAAACGAUAACCACUAUAACCUUAAUCAGACAGGACUACAGGGGAUUUGGGUGCCUUAGUGGACAUAGAAUAUCAACCAGCUGAAGUUCCAGUUAGAGGAAGGACCAUGUGCUGUGGAGAUCUGGGAAAGAAUUUGCAAGGAGAGAGGAAGAUGUCUGUAGAGAUGAGGGCCCCUGGGGACCCAAGAAGUGGAAAAGUUUCUGGAUAUGGCCAACUUUGAGGGAGCCUAUGCAAAUUCUGGGAUGGAGCAUGAGAUCCAAGGAUUGAAGAGCCAAGUCUUUGGAAGGAUUCUCAAAAAUCAAGCCCCACCCUGGCAUCUGACAAAUGGAAGAACUGAG